UAUUUGUUCGCAUAUAAAUGUGUUGAAACAUUGAGCACUCUCACUGGGCAUUUUGGCACCCAAAACUUCACUUCAGGAUUGAGAACUAUAACUGCAAAAGUUAAUCGGAACCUUUUCUCCCAUGAGUUGUCUCUGUCAGCAUCAAAUAUUAAUGUAGAAAUAGAUAUAAGCUUGCAGCAAUUUUAGUAAUUUCAGGCAUAUUCUGUUUAUAGAAAAUAACUUCAGGCAUAUUCAAAAUUACCGAAAAUGAUCUGCUUGUUUUUCAAACACCUAGUACUACAAUUGGGUGUAUUUUUUUGGAUGGCCAAGGAAUUUGACUGGUAUUUGAGCUAGAGCUCUUUUGCCAUUGAUCAAAAUUAAUUUUCUGACAUCGUUCAAAAUUGAUUUUCUUACAUUUUGUGCACCUAGAUUGUGCCUUUUGACUAUUGUAAACCAGUGAAGAUAACCAGGACUGAUGGUCUGAUGACACCUGCUGAUUGGCCAUGCAAGCAAUAUUUCCAAUUUAGGGUACUGUAUGCCUAUUUAUUUGCUGGUCAACCGAGUGUGUCUAGUGAGGUCUUGCUUUUGACUCUUCAAGCAAUGCUGGGGUGGACCACAAAGCAAUUUACCCUCUUUUACUGUGUUAAUAUUUGUACCAUAUUUACCUAUCAAUGACUCAUGUAUUUCCAAGGUUACUCCCAUGACCUGGGAUGAGAAAGUUCAGAAGUUUAAUUGUUUCCUUUAUUAGCACUACUAUGAUAUAUAUGGAAAAUAUCUUGUUAAUAUGUGUUCUUGGCAUGCUUGGCAUUGCAUUCUUACCAUCAAGUGAAUCUUAUUUCUUUGAUCGAGAAACCUGCAGAGUGAAAAGUUCUCCGAUGAUGAUGAUGAUGUUCCCAGUGCACCACCUAUUUGUGGUUCUGCUCAAGAAAUUAAUCAAGGUACUGAGAGAAGUCCAGUAUCAACCAAAAAUGAUCGAAAUACAUUAAAAACCACAUCCAGUGCUAAGCCAGAGAAUGAUUCUGGAAAUAGGAAUCCUGAGAAAUUUGUAAGAACUACAGCCACUUCUGAAGAAGGUGCAUCUUCAGGUUUAUAUCCAGCUCGCCUCCCAACAUUUCAUGCAAUUGCUCUAGGACCAUGGCAUGCUGUGAUUGCCUAUGAUGCAUGUGUGCGACUUUGUCUUCAUGCAUGGGCAAUGGAGUGCAUGGAAGCUCCGAUGUUCUUGGAAAGUGAAUGUGCUCUAUUACGUGAUGCUUUUGGAUUGGAGAUUUGAGAAUUCCAUGACUGCAGCAAAUCCAAAUGAAGAGGACCCAAAACUUGAAGAUUCCAGCUCUUCACCUGAUGAAACCAAUGUCUACUGCCAAACCCGAGAGGACCAUGAUCAAAACAAUGUCUCCAAAAUCAAAAUGAUUCAUAUAUUAUAAUUUUUUAUUUUAUAAAGCAAUGUAUAAAUACAAAAUAAUGUAGUGAAUUAUAUUGUGUUGAAUAUUGUAUAUAUUUUCUUUUGCAUGCA
Molecule: long non-coding RNA, 1489 nt
Organism: Carya illinoinensis
Lineage: Eukaryota; Viridiplantae; Streptophyta; Magnoliopsida; Fagales; Juglandaceae
Exons: 4
Source: RefSeq, a predicted model, not a curated record